UGCUGGAAGAGUGCCUCCGGACAC
Molecule: unclassified non-coding RNA, 24 nt
Filed under: Mus musculus (house mouse)
Lineage: Eukaryota; Metazoa; Chordata; Mammalia; Rodentia; Muridae
Description: oocyte_clustered_small_RNA12509
Source: RNAcentral